RNAcentral lists this ribosomal RNA (216 nucleotides) under Campeiostachys nutans. RNAcentral describes it as "Elymus nutans partial small subunit ribosomal RNA". The stretch from base 47 to 216 matches the Rfam family "Eukaryotic small subunit ribosomal RNA", at positions 693 to 864 of the family's 1831-position model. The record is from RNAcentral. Lineage: Eukaryota; Viridiplantae; Streptophyta; Magnoliopsida; Poales; Poaceae.
AGACCGGUUUAUUGGUCGUGCUUUUGGUACGUACUGGUAUUAUUGGUUUCUCCUUUCUGACGAACUAUAAUGCCAUUAAUUUGGUGUUAUGGUGAAUCAGGACUGUUACUUUGAAAAAAUUAUAGUGUUUAAAGCAGGCUCACGCUUGAAUACAUUAGCAUGGAAUAACGGAAUAGGACGUUUGAUUCUAUUUUGUUGGAUUCUAGGAUCGACGUA